UCCUAGCCCUGAUCGAACGGCAUGUCUGAGCUCUUUUUAUAUUCUUCCGCGGCGGCUUUGCCGCCGCGGAAGAAUAUAAAAAAGCGAGUAGUGAGAGCAGGAAACAGC
RNAcentral lists this unclassified non-coding RNA (108 nucleotides) under Chryseobacterium taichungense. RNAcentral's name for it is "Flavo-1 RNA". Lineage: Bacteria; Pseudomonadati; Bacteroidota; Flavobacteriia; Flavobacteriales; Weeksellaceae. The record is from RNAcentral.